GCACUGCUAAAGAGUCCCAUAAUAGGACGAAACAGCUGUCCAAUGU
RNAcentral lists this non-coding RNA (46 nucleotides) under Schistosoma mansoni. Lineage: Eukaryota; Metazoa; Platyhelminthes; Trematoda; Strigeidida; Schistosomatidae. The record is from RNAcentral.